AGGUGGUGGAAAUUGUUGGAAAAUCGCGUGAGGUAAUCAACUGAUACAGAAUUUUUCAUUCAGUACUCAAAUAAGGAAAUUGUAAAUUUUCCUCAAAAUGAUGCACAUUUGCGAUAUUUAAAAGGAAGCAUCGACAACAACAAUUCAUACGAUUCAGAACAGUCUAGCCAGGACGUCAGAUCAUCAACUUGUAUAAAAAGUACUACUGUGGUCGCACCUACGACAUAAAGAAAAUGCUAUCUAAAAAAUCAAUGUUAACCCUGUUUGUGGCAUUGGCACUAAUUUAUAGUGCCAUGGCUUGUAACGGAUUUGACAGUCCAUGCACUGGACCUAAUGGUCAACAAGGCAGUUGUUGUGGGGGCAUGCAUUGUCAGAAAAAUGACCCCUCUUGGGCACAAGGGCGGUGUUACUAUAAUCCUGGAAAGUAACUGAUAAAUAUGAAUUACUAACACAUACUAAAAUGAUUAUUAAAUCAUUAAAGAAAAUAAAAAAUGGCCAAAUAAAACAUCAAAA
Molecule: long non-coding RNA, 513 nt
Organism: Belonocnema kinseyi
Lineage: Eukaryota; Metazoa; Arthropoda; Insecta; Hymenoptera; Cynipidae
Exons: 2
Source: RefSeq, a predicted model, not a curated record